This 555-nucleotide ribosomal RNA is filed under the name Triticum aestivum (bread wheat). Its description in RNAcentral is "partial small subunit ribosomal RNA". Lineage: Eukaryota; Viridiplantae; Streptophyta; Magnoliopsida; Poales; Poaceae. The record is from RNAcentral.
AUGAAAGCUCUCAUCUGGAAUGUAAGAGGUUUCGGCGCUAGGGGGCGUCAAGACCAGAUUCAUGACUUGGUCUAUGGUGAACACAUUGACAUUGUAGGGUUUGUCGAAAUGUUUAAGGAAUCCUUCUCCCCCUCUGAGUUGUCUGCGGUUGCAGGCAUGGAUAGAUUUGAUUGGAAUUUUCUUCCUUCCUCGAGUCACUCUGGGGGUAUCUUGAUUGGGUAUAAGCGGGAUGUGUUUGAUUUCAUUACUUUUGAUCAUGGCAUCUUUUGGGCUAGCGUGGUAGUUCAUCAUCGUCAGCUAAACACGUUAUGGGAAUUUCUAGUGGUUUAUGGCCCUGCUGAUCAUUCACUUGCGACUAUGUUUCUUGACGAGCUCUCUAAUAAGGUUGAGCCCUAUAAUAUUCCUCUAUUAAUUGGUGGUGAUUUCAAUCUCUUGCGUGCCAUGGCAGAUAAAAAUAGUCCUAAUUUCUCCUGGCCCCUGGCUAAUGCCUUUAAUGAGUUUAUUAGUAACUAUGUGAUUCAUGAGCUCCCUAGGGUGGGGGCGCGGUUCACUUGA